This 2160-nucleotide ribosomal RNA is filed under the name Triticum aestivum (bread wheat). RNAcentral describes it as "partial small subunit ribosomal RNA". Lineage: Eukaryota; Viridiplantae; Streptophyta; Magnoliopsida; Poales; Poaceae. The record is from RNAcentral.
AUGGGGACGGAGCGGAAGCGCAAGGUGAGCCUCUUCGACGUGGUUGACGAGACCUCCGUAUCCGCUAAGCUCGGCCGCGCCGGCAUCAAUGGUGCCGCCGCCGCGGCCAAUCCGUCCAUCAACCGGUGGAACGGCCGGCCCUACUCGGCGCGGUACCUAGAGAUCCUCGAGAAGCGCCGCACGCUCCCCGUCUGGCAGCAGAAGGACGAGUUCCUCCGCGUCCUCCGCGACAACCAGACCCUCAUCCUUGUCGGAGAAACCGGAAGUGGCAAGACCACUCAGAUCCCCCAAUUUGUGCUCGAGGCUGAAGGUCUGAGCAACCGCUCUAUGGUUGCCUGCACCCAGCCGCGGAGGGUUGCUGCAAUGUCGGUCUCUCGGCGUGUCGCGGAGGAGAUGGAUGUCACAAUCGGGGAGGAAGUUGGUUACAGUAUCCGAUUUGAAGAUUGCAGCAGUCACAAAACUGUUCUCAAAUAUUUGACAGAUGGUAUGCUUCUGAGAGAAGCAAUGGCAGACCCACUUUUAGAGAGGUACAAGGUGAUUGUUCUUGACGAGGCUCAUGAGCGCACGUUGGCAACGGAUGUUCUGUUUGGGCUUCUGAAGGAAGUUCUAAAGAACAGGCCUGACUUGAAGCUUGUUGUUAUGAGUGCUACUCUUGAGGCAGAGAAGUUUCAGGGUUAUUUCAGUGGUGCACCAUUGAUGAAGGUUCCUGGUAGACUUCAUCCUGUUGAGAUCUUCUAUACACAGGAACCAGAAAGGGACUAUCUAGAAGCUGCUAUCAGGACAGUUGUGCAGAUACAUAUGUGUGAACCUGCUGGUGAUAUCCUUGUAUUCCUUACUGGAGAAGAGGAGAUUGAGGAUGCGUGUCGGAAAAUAAACAAGGAAGUUAAUAACAUGGGUGAUCAGGUUGGCCCAGUUAAAGUCGUGCCAUUGUACUCUACUCUCCCCCCUGCAAUGCAGCAGAAGAUUUUUGACCCUGCUCCACCUCCAUUGAAAGAGGGAGGUCCUGCUGGAAGGAAAAUUGUUGUGUCCACAAACAUUGCUGAGACAUCCCUAACCAUUGAUGGUAUAGUGUAUGUUAUAGAUCCAGGGUUUUCCAAACAGAAGGUUUACAAUCCAAGGAUAAGGGUGGAAUCCCUUUUGGUGUCUCCAAUUUCCAAGGCAAGUGCGCAUCAGCGAGCUGGUCGUGCUGGAAGAACACAGCCUGGGAAGUGCUUCAGGUUGUACACAGAGAAGAGUUUUAAUGGUGAUUUACAGCCACAGACCUACCCAGAAAUUCUUCGGUCAAACUUGGCAAAUACAGUUCUUACUCUGAAGAAGCUUGGAAUUGAUGAUUUAGUGCAUUUUGACUUCAUGGAUCCUCCUGCGCCCGAAACUCUAAUGAGGGCCUUGGAAGUUCUGAACUACUUGGGGGCACUCGACGAUGAAGGCAACCUAACAUCUUUAGGUGAAAUGAUGAGUGAGUUCCCCUUAGACCCACAGAUGUCAAAGAUGCUUGUCAUCAGUCCAAGGUACAACUGUUCAAAUGAGAUCCUCUCAAUAUCUGCCAUGCUAUCAGUACCCAAUUGCUUUCUCCGGCCUAGGGAGGCACAAAAGGCUGCUGAUGAGGCGAAGGCUCGAUUUGGGCACAUCGAUGGGGAUCAUCUGACACUUUUGAACGUGUACCAUGCAUACAAGCAAAACAAUGAGGAUCCUACAUGGUGUUAUGAGAAUUUUGUCAAUGCCCGGGCGAUGAAGUCUGCUGAUAAUGUUAGACAACAACUUGUGCGCAUCAUGACCAGAUUCAACCUCAAGAUGUGCAGUACAGACUUCAACAGUCGUGAGUACUAUGUCAACAUCAGGAAAGCAAUGCUUUCAGGGUACUUUAUGCAGGUUGCUCAUCUGGAGCGAACUGGGCAUUACUUGACCGUUAAGGAUAAUCAGGUUGUCCAUCUUCAUCCCUCGAAUUGCAUGGACCAUAAGCCGGAAUGGGUCAUCUACAAUGAAUAUGUUUUGACCACCAGGAAUUUCAUCCGCACAGUCACCGAUAUCCGUGGAGAGUGGCUGAUCGAUAUAGCUCCACAGUACUAUGAUCUGACCAAUUUCCCAUCAUGUGAGGCCAAGCGUGUUCUUGAGAGGCUACACAAUAAGAGGGAGAGGGAAAGAGCUGCUAGUAGGAACUGA